This 1396-nucleotide ribosomal RNA is filed under the name uncultured bacterium. RNAcentral's name for it is "bacterial SSU rRNA". It matches the Rfam family "Bacterial small subunit ribosomal RNA". The record is from RNAcentral.
UUGAUCCUGGCUCAGAUUGAACGCUGGCGGCAGGCCUAACACAUGCAAGUCGAACGGCAGCACAGAAGAGCUUGCUCUUUGGGUGGCGAGUGGCGGACGGGUGAGUAAUGUCUGGGAAACUGCCCGAUGGAGGGGGAUAACUACUGGAAACGGUAGCUAAUACCGCAUAACGUCGCAAGACCAAAGUGGGGGACCUUCGGGCCUCACACCAUCGGAUGUGCCCAGAUGGGAUUAGCUAGUAGGUGGGGUAAUGGCUCACCUAGGCGACGAUCCCUAGCUGGUCUGAGAGGAUGACCAGCCACACUGGAACUGAGACACGGUCCAGACUCCUACGGGAGGCAGCAGUGGGGAAUAUUGCACAAUGGGCGCAAGCCUGAUGCAGCCAUGCCGCGUGUAUGAAGAAGGCCUUCGGGUUGUAAAGUACUUUCAGCGGGGAGGAAGGCGGUGAGGUUAAUAACCUUGCCGAUUGACGUUACCCGCAGAAGAAGCACCGGCUAACUCCGUGCCAGCAGCCGCGGUAAUACGGAGGGUGCAAGCGUUAAUCGGAAUUACUGGGCGUAAAGCGCACGCAGGCGGUCUGUUAAGUCAGAUGUGAAAUCCCCGGGCUUAACCUGGGGAACUGCAUUUGAAACUGGCAGGCUUGAGUCUCGUAGAGGGGGGUAGAAUUCCAGGUGUAGCGGUGAAAUGCGUAGAGAUCUGGAGGAAUACCGGUGGCGAAGGCGGCCCCCUGGACGAAGACUGACGCUCAGGUGCGAAAGCGUGGGGAGCAAACAGGAUUAGAUACCCUGGUAGUCCACGCCGUAAACGAUGUCGACUUGGAGGUUGUGCCCUUGAGGCGUGGCUUCCGGAGCUAACGCGUUAAGUCGACCGCCUGGGGAGUACGGCCGCAAGGUUAAAACUCAAAUGAAUUGACGGGGGCCCGCACAAGCGGUGGAGCAUGUGGUUUAAUUCGAUGCAACGCGAAGAACCUUACCUGGCCUUGACAUCCAGAGAACUUAGCAGAGAUGCUUUGGUGCCUUCGGGAACUCUGAGACAGGUGCUGCAUGGCUGUCGUCAGCUCGUGUUGUGAAAUGUUGGGUUAAGUCCCGCAACGAGCGCAACCCUUAUCCUUUGUUGCCAGCGGCUCGGCCGGGAACUCAAAGGAGACUGCCGGUGAUAAACCGGAGGAAGGUGGGGAUGACGUCAAGUCAUCAUGGCCCUUACGGCCAGGGCUACACACGUGCUACAAUGGCGCAUACAAAGAGAAGCGACCUCGCGAGAGCAAGCGGACCUCAUAAAGUGCGUCGUAGUCCGGAUUGGAGUCUGCAACUCGACUCCAUGAAGUCGGAAUCGCUAGUAAUCGUAGAUCAGAAUGCUACGGUGAAUACGUUCCCGGGCCUUGUACUCACCGCCCGUC